Pelobates cultripes (western spadefoot toad) is the source of this 528-nucleotide non-coding RNA. The record is from the annotation of a GenBank genome assembly. Lineage: Eukaryota; Metazoa; Chordata; Amphibia; Anura; Pelobatidae.
AUUUACAGCUAACAGGGAGCGCCAUGGGAACCAGGUUCGCCCCCAGUUAUGCCAACAUCUACAUGCGAAGAUGGGAAGAUCUUUUUGUGUGGUGCGGGCAUGAUUGGCGGGCGAGCCUGGUCCUAUGGCGGAGAUUUAUUGAUGACGUGAUUGUUAUCUGGAAAGGCACUCAAGAAGAUUUUUUAUCAUUUGUACAAUAUCUUAAUUUAAAUCCUUUUAAUUUAAAAUUUACACCUGAGUGGCAUAAAGAUACCAUAAAUUUUUUAGAACUAAAUUUAUAUUGGGAGCAGAACAAAAUUAGAUCUAGAUGUUUUUUUUAAAACAACUGACGGAAAUAGUUAUGUUCAUAAGUCAAGUUGUCAUCAUCAACCUUGGCUGAGAGGUAUUGCUAAAAGCCAGUUAACAAGGGUACGUAGGAAUUGCUCCAAUGUUCAAGACUUUGAAAUUCAGGCAAAAUAUAUAAAAAACAAAUUGGUAAAUAAAGGUUAUGAUAGUAAUAUGAUUGAAAGGGAAAUUAGAACACUCAAG